CGUGUAGGCGGUCGGGUAAGUGGAAUGUGAAAUGCCCCGGCUCACCCGGGGACCGGCAUCCCAAACUGCCUGGCUUGAGUAUGGGAGAGGAUGGAGGAAUUCCUGGUGUAGCGGUGAAAUGCGUAGAUAUCAGGAGGAACACCGGUGGCGAAGGCGUCCAUCUGGCCCAAUACUGACGCUGAGGCGCGAAAGCUAGGGGAGCAAACGG
RNAcentral lists this ribosomal RNA (208 nucleotides) under uncultured Latescibacterota bacterium. RNAcentral's name for it is "uncultured Latescibacteria bacterium partial 16S ribosomal RNA". It matches the Rfam family "Bacterial small subunit ribosomal RNA", at positions 568 to 775 of the family's 1533-position model. Lineage: Bacteria; Pseudomonadati; Candidatus Latescibacterota. The record is from RNAcentral.